Molecule: unclassified non-coding RNA, 4286 nt
Filed under: Melitaea cinxia (Glanville fritillary)
Lineage: Eukaryota; Metazoa; Arthropoda; Insecta; Lepidoptera; Nymphalidae
Description: misc RNA ENSMCXG00005004503.1
Source: RNAcentral
GGUGAAAAAAAAUAUAUUUCUUUUUUGGGUAAGUGGGGAUGGCAGCUUAUGUGUAAAGGGCGUCACACACGGCGAAGAUACUAUAAUAUUUUAUCUUAACAUACAAUAUCGCUCGGUAUACAUUUUGUAUGAACUAUCACACAUGGUUAAGAUAAUAUAUAUUUUCAUAUUACAGUAUCUUUACCAUAUCGAGCGAUAUGGAAAUAUUAUAUUAUGAUACGAGAUAUGUAUUAACAUGGUAAAAUAUUAUCUUAAUAUGCGAAAUGUUCUAACAUGGUAUCUUAAGACACAAAAUAUAUCGCAAUAUCCUUACACAGAGUGUGCCCAGAAUGCGGGGUGCGGGGUGUGUUUGUGUCGCUUUUUCGUAUUUUGUUUCUUGAUAUCGUCAUUAAUCAAAUUAUGAAUAGUAAUAAAAAUCUCCUUUGAUUUCUUAAAACAUAUUUGAAACAUUUUUGACGAUAGUUCUUCGUAGAGUUUGUACUCACCGCGGUCUUUCUUAUACUUAAUAUGAUUUUCUACCCAAAUCGUUCGGCACUUAGAACGUGCGGCAGAAAUUUUUAAGUCAUAUUCGAAAUCAGAAUUAUCAUUCGAUGAGCUAUCUAAUAAAUUGAAUAGUACGGCCGUAUUAUAUUAUUAGAUCACCAUGUAUAUAUAUGCAGUGAAGAAAGGUACGUGUCGACUCCUCCCCUAGUGACGAAAGAAUGAUUCGAGCGAAUAUAUUAUCGUAACUUAACCGUGUGUGAUACAUUAAGAUAGUAUAAUAUUUUAUAUCUAGGUAUCUUAAGAUAAAAUAUUAUAGUAUCUUCACCGUGUGUGACGCCCUUAAGACUUGAUCGUUGUUUUGAGGUAAAUUAAAUCAGUUAAAAAUUUAUUAAUCUCACAGUUUCAAUUACCGCUCGAAAUAGAUAUUUCUAUUUGUACGAAUAUUUGUUUCUGGUUGUCUGUCCUAGUGGGUCUCCCCACCGUGACUCGGAGAGCAUGUCUGUUGGUCUCGGUUGUUAUCAUAAACACCCGAAAGCGAUCGUUGCUCAUAGUAGGGAUUUUAUCCGCCAACCCGCAGUGGAGCACCGUGAUGGAUUAAGCCCCGACACUUCCUUCAUGGAGAAAGCGGCCUAUUGCCAAGUUGGAUGUUACAGGCUUAUUUUGACUGGAACAACUUGACUUUAACAAGGCGUCGAACCCCUUAAAUAUAAAAUUAUGGCAGCUGAUUACCGUUUCAGUGAUAUUUUAUAUGUAAUAGUACAAAACAAUAUAAAUAAAUAUAAUAAUAAUUAUUUAUGUGUUUAAAUGUGCUGUGAGAUUUUUUUCUUUUUUUUAAAGUACAGAUUAAUAAUAAUGUUUGUAUUUAUCUUAUUUUUUUAAUGAUAAAAAAAAAUUGUUGCCAUUUUUUAUUCCAGAUUUUAUAUGUAUAUUAAAAAAAAUCAGAAUGUUUUUUAUUCAAUAAGUUUAUGUAUAGUUUUGUUUUAUUUUAUUUUUUUGCAUAAUUUUAAUUAUAUUUAUAAAAAUAUUAAAAUAUGGUUACCAUUUAUUUCAAUAUCGCAUUUUUGAAUCAAAAUCGACACGGCGACUUUACUCGGGGAAAUUAUUUUUUUUUAUACAUUGCUGUGUCGAUUUCGAUGAAGCUAAUAUUAUCGUGUAAACGUUUAGGAAAGUGAUAUUGUAUCGAAUUUACGUGGCAAUUAUUAAUAUGAAGUGUAGUGUAAGUUUUAACUGUCAUUUUUUUACGUCACAAUCGGUUAAUAUUCAUUUUUAUGUAUCUAGAUGUAGACCUUGCCAAAGUUUUUAUUAUUUUUGUAUGUGCACGAGAUGGACUUGUAUUAAUGUUAACUUUGUGAUUGUUACUUUUAACUAAAAAUCUCUUUAGUAUAUGAGUUAUAAAAGAAAUAUAUAUAAUUAUACAUAUGGAUUACAAGCGAGAGGUAUUCAAUUAAAUCACAUAUACUACAUACAGUUUCUAAGCAUUUCACUAAGGUAGGGUACAGGAGCCUAUGGCAGUCCACUGCUGGACAUAGGCCUCCCCAAGUUCGCGCCAGAUAUCCCGGUCUUCCGCAAUCCUCAUCCAGCCUACACCGGCAAUCUUACGUAGAUCGUCGGUCCAACGGGCCGGAGGACGUCCCACACUGCGUUUGCCAACAGGAGGAUAUAUCCUGCUCAAAAUCUGAAGCAGCCCGACUGGGGCAGUACCUCGACCUUACAGAAGAUCACAGCCAAAUAGUUCUACUUUCAAACAGUGUCGUGUCCCUGUGGUGUGUAAGCUGACCAGAACUCCUGGGGAGGGUCGGUCCUGGGAGGUUUAAUCGUACUUAUUGUAUACAGAAAAAGAUACUGGCUGGUGUGCAUCGUUGCUGCGUUUUAUUAGUAGUUAAUAGCAAUUUUUCCACCUCUUUCAGCCUUUUAUUUUGCAACGGAAGGUAGCCUCUGUCAACUCCCAAGGCCUACUUCAUCUCUGUACGAAAUUUCAUUAAAAUCUGUCGAGUGGUUCAGUCGUAAAAUAUAUUUACGCUAGGGCCAAAAGGGCCAUGGCCCGGGGCGGCAUUCUGCGAGGGGCAACGCAAGCCAAGCAUUGUUUACUGGGAUUGUGAAAAAAUAAUCGAUUUCAAGCAAAGGCCCUAAGACAAAAAAAAAAAUGUCAGCCGCAACGUUUAAAAAUAAAUCGAUCGAUAAUUUUAUUCAUGUUAUUAUGGGGCGGCAAAUCUUAAAAUACGCUACAGUGUAUAUGUUGGUUUAAUUUUAACGCCUCUCGCUUAUAACUAUUUCGUGUAAAUUUUUUUUUUAUUAUUCAUGUCAAAAUCUGUUUUUUUUUUCUUUUUUUUGUUAUUUAAAAGGUCAAUUUUUUUUGUUUUGUUAAAUUGGUUUUAAAAGUCUGUAUUUUCGUGGGCAUUAUAUAUAUAUAGAGAGAUAGAGAUAGCUAUGUAUUUGUUAUUACGUAAAUAUAAGGUCUUCGACUCCUAUGGGUCCUUCAAAUGGGGAGGGGGGAUUCUGUAGGUGUAAUAGUUCACGUUUCGCGCGAAAAAUAAAUCCUAGCCCAUUUUUAAAUUUGACUUUGUCUUAAUACUAUUUUUUCAAUACUAUUUUUCUGAGUUCUAAAAAACGUCGAUUAAGUGAAUUAAAAGAAAAAAGAACCGCAUGGAAACGAAUUAUUUUUGUCAUCAGUCAGUCAGCCAGACCAUAGAUAUGUUUUUAUUGUAAAUUAUCGCUGUCUUAACGGAAUGUAUCAUGCGGGAUGAGUCUAUCGAAACUAUUUACACAAAAUCUCACCACUGAAAUAAUAAGGAGUCGAACAACUUAUGUUUAUGUUUUAGUCAUCCGUGCAUGUAAACUAUGUUACAGUUUUUUUUUAAUAUAUAUUAAUUUAUAUAGUUUUGAUUUAUUUUGGUGCUAUAAUAUACUUUGAAGAAUUUUCUUUGCAUUUUUUCCUUUUCAAUAAACGAGUAAAUUUUUUAUAUGGAAAUUGUUUCGUGACGCCCAUUUAGAGAAAACGCUAGUUCGUCGAAGGAAAAACAUUUUUUUUUCUUAGUUUUAAAACUAUAUUUAGAUAGUUUUUAAGAUUUUUGAAAAGCGGGAUGGUGGAUAUGUAACGGAGCGCGCGAAAAAAAAUUCGAUUAAAAAAUCUUUAUUUCGAAUUUUUUUUUCAAUUUUAUUAUAGUUUUUUCGAUAUCAAAAUUAUAAUGAGAAAAAUAUGAUAUUUUUUAUCUGUGCGCUCUUUUAGACCAAAGCUGUGAAUAUUGUAAAAAAAGAUUAGGAGAUAUGCUUAGCGGUACUAUAGUUGACACUUUGAAAAAAAAACAAUGUGAUACGUUCUCACCAAGCAUUAUAAAAAUAUGUAUUAAAAAUAUUAUUUUUUUUAAUUAAAAAAAUAAAAACCCUAAGUGGAACUAUAAUAUCGAAUAUGCAGAUUUUUGUGAAUAUCCCAAAAAAAAAGAAAAAAAAAAUUUAUCUAAAAAACUUUAUUUUUAGUACUUAAACAUUUCUUUUGUACUAUAACCCGGAUUUUUUUGGGAUUUUUACAAAAAAUUAAAAAUGAAAUCAACAAAUUUUUAGAUUUUAAGGAAGAGAGUUAAUUGCUAGGUACAUUUUCUUUAUAUAUUUUUUACAGCAGUGGCCAUUUCAAAUAAAAUAAGUGGAAAAUCGUAUUUUGGUUUUAUUGUAUUUCCUGUUUUAAUUUUUUUUGUGAAAUAUGCGUUUUUUUUUUUAAUUUCUUGUAUACAAAACCCUGCCCUGACAAUAAACAUCAAACACAAAAAAAAAUUUACGAUUCGGUGCAGUCGUUCGAAAGCUAUGGUACA